Molecule: ribosomal RNA, 424 nt
Filed under: Verrucomicrobiota bacterium
Lineage: Bacteria; Pseudomonadati; Verrucomicrobiota
Description: Verrucomicrobia bacterium partial 16S ribosomal RNA
Rfam family: Bacterial small subunit ribosomal RNA
Source: RNAcentral
UGAGGAAUAUUGGUCAAUGGACGGAAGUCUGAACCAGCCAAGUAGCGUGCAGGAUGACGGCCCUAUGGGUUGUAAACUGCUUUUGUAUGGGGAUAAAGUUAGGGACGUGUCCCUAUUUGCAGGUACCAUACGAAUAAGGACCGGCUAAUUCCGUGCCAGCAGCCGCGGUAAUACGGAAGGUCCAGGCGUUAUCCGGAUUUAUUGGGUUUAAAGGGAGCGUAGGCUGGAGAUUAAGUGUGUUGUGAAAUGUAGACGCUCAACGUCUGAAUUGCAGCGCAUACUGGUUUCCUUGAGUACGCACAACGUUGGCGGAAUUCAUGGUGUAGCGGUGAAAUGCUUAGAUAUCAUGACGAACUCCGAUUGCGAAGGCAGCUUACGGGAGCGCAACUGACGCUAAAGCUCGAAGGUGCGGGUAUCGAACAGG